This 179-nucleotide unclassified non-coding RNA is filed under the name uncultured Pezizales. RNAcentral describes it as "sequence contains ITS2". The record is from RNAcentral. Lineage: Eukaryota; Fungi; Ascomycota; Pezizomycetes; Pezizales.
AAACCCCUCAAUUAGGGAUUUUUCGAAACCCCAGCUUGGUCUUGGGCCUGAGGGAUCAGAACCCUCUGCCUGCAAUCCAGUGGCGGAUUUUCCAGCGCGGCAUCAGCGUGAUGAACACGUCGUUCGCGAAUGGCGGCGGGAAAGUCCAGCCAUGACAAAACCCCCAUAGCAAUUUUCAA